RNAcentral lists this long non-coding RNA (980 nucleotides) under Cyanistes caeruleus (blue tit). RNAcentral's name for it is "lncRNA (ENSCCEG00000016243.1)". Lineage: Eukaryota; Metazoa; Chordata; Aves; Passeriformes; Paridae. The record is from RNAcentral.
CUGUUUUGUAAAUAAAUUAAGUGGAGCUUCUGACAGGCCUUUCCCAUUUCCAAUAGGAAUGUAAGCUAGGUGACAUAUUUAUGAUUUCUUUUGUUUUUCAGGAUUGCUGUUGAGAGUCUGGGAGCCCCAGUGCAAUGUGUUUAAUUCAACGUACUCUUAAAAGGAAAGGCUGUUUGUACUGACCUGAAUUGGUGAACAAAAGCAGGGGAGCACUGGGUGCUGCCAUACAACACGAGAAGGAUCCUCUGCUGGUGUCUGUGGCCUUGGAGGAGGUUUCCUGGCUUCCUGCAGGAGUGGCACCUCACAAAUAACACAAAACAUCACAAGCACGGCUCUGUGGCUGAGUGAAUGUGCUGAGAUCUGCUGAUGUCUCCACAACAUGCACAAAUAAAGGUUUAUACCCAGGGAGAAGCUGUUCUCAGCCAGUGAACUGAGAAAACACUGGAACACUGAGAAGUUUUUUAGAGGCUGGAAUUGGGAAGGAUCAAUUCCCCCGAAGAGCUUUGCAGUUCCCAUUAUUCCCGAAGAGUCGCAUGUUCUGGCGUUUGUAAACGCCGUGCUUGCUCCUCUGCUGGCUCAUUCCUUACUGAGCCUACAGAGAUGCAUCAAAAUGAUCCUCUGUCCUUCCCUCACCAAGGGUAAAAUUCACCAGUUUCACAGGAGUUUGGCUGCUUUGGGCUGCAGUGCCUAAGAGAAAAGUUGGGCAGAUAUGAGCUCCUGGUGUCAUAGGAUGAGUAGGAAUGCUGACACCAGGGUUUUCAGCUUGCCUGUCUGAUCUAAUAGUUUUGAAGAAUGAAACAAAUUUCUUCCCAUUAAGAAGACAAAGAAUAAAAUCAGUUAUCUUUCUACCUCUUCCAUCCACCUGGCAUUGCUUUUGCAAUUAUAUUGCCCUUUUGAGCCCUUUGUGGUGGGAUCCAUCAUUUUUCAUUUCACUUCCAGUGCCUGAUAGUCAAAGCAGGUUGGGAGAUAGCUGUGUGUAA